This 433-nucleotide ribosomal RNA is filed under the name uncultured bacterium. RNAcentral's name for it is "partial 16S ribosomal RNA". It matches the Rfam family "Bacterial small subunit ribosomal RNA", at positions 29 to 507 of the family's 1533-position model. The record is from RNAcentral.
AACGAACGCUGGCGGCAUGCCUAACACAUGCAAGUCGAACGAGACCUUCGGGUCUAGUGGCGCACGGGUGCGUAACGCGUGGGAACCUGCCCUUAGGUUCGGAAUAACUCCCCGAAAGGGGUGCUAAUACCGGAUAAUGUCUUCGGACCAAAGAUUUAUCGCCUUUGGAUGGGCCCGCGUUGGAUUAGCUAGUUGGUAGGGUAAAAGCCUACCAAGGCGCCGAUCCAUAGCUGGUCUGAGAGGAUGAUCAGCCACACUGGGACUGAGACACGGCUCAGACUCCUACGGGAGGCAGCAGUGGGGAAUAUUGGACAAUGGGCGAAAGCCUGAUCCAGCAAUGCCGCGUGAGUGAUGAAGGCCUUAGGGUUGUAAAGCUCUUUUACCCGGGAUGAUAAUGACAGUACCGGGAGAAUAAGCUCCGGCUAACUCCGUG